Molecule: long non-coding RNA, 399 nt
Organism: Eurytemora carolleeae
Lineage: Eukaryota; Metazoa; Arthropoda; Copepoda; Calanoida; Temoridae
Exons: 5
Source: RefSeq, a predicted model, not a curated record
GAAUUUUUUAUUUAUCAGACAUGUUUGCAAUACAAAAUCUUAAUUUGGGGAAUUUUCAGAUGAUUAAUGCUCUUCAACCUAUUUUUGUCAGUUUGUCAGCAAGAUUAUUCCUAAAGGAAUCUUUUGGAGUUUUAAAUAUUGUUUCUCUUGUUGUUAUGAUGGCUGGCGUAGUUCUCGUUAUUAAGCCACCCUUUCUAUUUACAUCGGAGGAAACCCCUGAAAAUAGAGUAGUAUGUUCUGGAUUGCAGUUGGAGCAUCAAUUCUCUCUAAAAUGGUUUCAGCAAACCUUAUUGUUAUCCUGAGAUACCUCAGAUGUGAAACUGCAGAUUUUAGGACUUGGAGUUGCAACAUUAGUAUCUUCCAAUAUGAAUCUUGUAGCUCUUAAACUGGAAGAGGCAA